ACAAACAAAAAAGAAGACAAAAAAGAAUUCAUUGUCACUUUCUUUUCUGUUGAGUGAAAAGAUAAAAGUCUUUACGCGACAGCAAUAGAGGAUGGGAUACAUCUUUCUCUUCUAAGCAACCUCUUUUGAAUUCUCAAGACCAUUCUUGCAAUAGGAUACCAUGCUCAAGAGGAAAUAGUGUUGGGAACCAGCAGUACGCACGGAUAA
Molecule: ribosomal RNA, 207 nt
Filed under: Triticum aestivum (bread wheat)
Lineage: Eukaryota; Viridiplantae; Streptophyta; Magnoliopsida; Poales; Poaceae
Description: partial small subunit ribosomal RNA
Source: RNAcentral